RNAcentral lists this ribosomal RNA (497 nucleotides) under uncultured bacterium. RNAcentral describes it as "partial 16S ribosomal RNA". It matches the Rfam family "Bacterial small subunit ribosomal RNA", at positions 28 to 507 of the family's 1533-position model. The record is from RNAcentral.
GAUGAACGCUGGCGGCGUGCCUAACACAUGCAAGUCGAGCGAACAGACGAGGAGCUUGCUCCCCUGACGUUAGCGGCGGACGGGUGAGUAACAUGUGGAUAACCUACCUAUAAGACUGGGAUAACUUCGGGAAACCGGAGCUAAUACCGGAUAAUAUAUUGAACCGCAUGGUUCAAUAGUGAAAGACGGUAUUUCUGUCACUUAUAGAUGGAUCCGCGCCGCAUUAGCUAGUUGGUAAGGUAACGGCUUACCAAGGCAACGAUGCGUAGCCGACCUGAGAGGGUGAUCGGCCACACUGGAACUGAGACACGGUCCAGACUCCUACGGGAGGCCGCAGUAGGGAAUCUUCCGCAAUGGGCGAAAGCUUGACGGAGCAACGCCGCGUGAGUGAUGAAGGUCUUCGGAUCGUAAAGCUCUGUUAUUAGGGAAGAACAAAUGUGUAAGUAACUAUGCUCGUCUUGACGGUACCUAAUCAGAAAGCCACGGCUAACUACGUG